AGUAAACCCAAUCCAAUAUAUUUCAAUCUCUUAGCACCAGUACCCAAUCCAUUAGCCAUUCUGCCACAAUUCAUCCGCCAAUCUGCGAGAAAGCUCUCAUGAAUGGACGAAGGCAGUGCACGGCCAUUCAUCAGCCUCUCAUUUUCAUCUCUUUGAGCCCUUGAAGUGACGAUGCUGACGCUGCCUUCUUUCCGUCGACACCACCAACGGGCAACAACAGUAAUGAUUCAAUUUUCAAAGAAGAAGGCGUGAAAAACUUACCACUGAACCGUGAACUCAUUGAACUGGUGAAGAUUGAAGAAGAAGAAAUCGAUUCAAUAGUCAACAGAAAAAGGUAAAGCUUGAAAGCCCUACCAUUUCUCUUUUUAUGGUAAAUGAUUUUUAAGGGUGUUUGUAGAUCCAUGGUUACCUUGACCAACUCCUUUAAACCUAUGCAAUCUAAAGAGAAAGUAGAGAUUGCAAGUGAUCUGAUAACCAAUGUUUUUUUCCAAUUGAUUAACAUGUUAUUGGUUGGGGCAGAGCCCAAUGAAGUCCAUGCCCACACUGAACUUUUUUUUCCAAUUGAUUAACAUGAUAACCAAUGUUUUUUUUGCCAAUUGAUUAACAUGUCUAUUAUUGGUACAUUGUCUGUUAUGUAAAUUAGGUUUUGUGACCUUAUUUUGAUAAUUUUUGAAUUCUUUAAAUAAAAUGUGACUUGAUUUAGAUGAUAUGCGACCUCAACAUGAUAAGUGUGACAUGAUGUUAUAUUAUUACUUGAUUUCUAAAAGAUUACAAGUUUAAAACAUGAAUAGUUAAUGAGUUAUUUUUUAGAAUAGUCACAAUCACAAAAGAACAUGUCACAAUUAGCAUAUUUGUUGGUCACAGUCGCAUGUUUAUGGUUGUGUUUUAGGUCAUGGUCACUUGUCUGACUUUCUAUUUUGUGCAAGACUCAAAAUAUUUUGAUAAAAGAAAGCAAAUGGUUUCUUGACAAGAUCACAAAGUGCCAUCACAGACUUCAUGAUGAAAUUCAAGGCUUCACCGAAUGAGAUCCCUGAAGACACUUAUUACACUUACCACAUGCAUUGAGAGAGAUCUUUGUCCAACCUCUAACUUAUUCAUUAUAAGUGGUUGUGGAAGGUUAAGCAACCAAACAAGGAAGAGAUUGAUUCAACAUCAAUGGCAAAUAUAUUCAAUUUUCAAUUACCGAAUUUGUUUUGUGACUGGGCUAUGAUAUGUUGGAAUAGAUGAUUGAACAACCAUCUAAAAUGAGAGGGAAAUUAAAGACUGAUGAUUGAAUGAUUGUUAAUAGAAUUACUUUGAAAAUGAUUUUUCAUUCAUGAUGUUUCAGGUAGAUGUUGUCUUUAUAUGAAUUCGGUUUGUUUGUAUGUGUGAAUGAUUAUUUUUCACCUUCUUAAAAUUCUAGGUGACUGUUAUUCUUGUGUACUUUAAAUGAGAAACUG
Molecule: long non-coding RNA, 1439 nt
Filed under: Olea europaea subsp. europaea
Lineage: Eukaryota; Viridiplantae; Streptophyta; Magnoliopsida; Lamiales; Oleaceae
Source: RNAcentral